GGCUCAGAACGAACGCUGGCGGCGUGCUUAACACAUGCAAGUCGAACGAACCUUCGGGUUAGUGGCGGACGGGUGAGUAACGCGUGAGAAUCUGCCCUCAGGAGGGGGAUAACGGUUGGAAACGACCGCUAAUACCCCAUAUGCCGAGAGGUGAAAAGAAAUUCGCCUGAGGAUGAGCUCGCGUCUGAUUAGCUAGUUUUUUUUCUAAUGGCGCACGANUAGCUUCGAUCAGUAGCUGGUCUGAGAGGAUGAUCAGCCACA
Molecule: ribosomal RNA, 261 nt
Filed under: uncultured bacterium
Lineage: Bacteria
Description: partial 16S ribosomal RNA
Rfam family: Bacterial small subunit ribosomal RNA
Source: RNAcentral